UGGUAUUCUGUCAGAAGGACUAGUGUCAU
Molecule: non-coding RNA, 29 nt
Filed under: Mus musculus (house mouse)
Lineage: Eukaryota; Metazoa; Chordata; Mammalia; Rodentia; Muridae
Source: RNAcentral